AGCGAACGCUGGCGGCAGGCUUAACACAUGCAAGUCGAACGCCCCGCAAGGGGAGUGGCAGACGGGUGAGUAACACGUGGGAACGUACCCUUUGGUUCGGAAUAACUUGGGGAAACUCAAGCUAAUACCGGAUAAGCCCUUAUGGGGAAAGGUUUACUGCAGAAGGAUCGGCCCGCGUCUGAUUAGCUAGUUGGUGAGGUAAUGGCGCACCAAGGCGACGAUCAGUAGCUGGUCUGAGAGGAUGAUCAGCCACACGGGGACUGAGACACGGCCCAGACUCCUACGGGAGGCAGCAGUGAGGAAUAUUGGACAAUGGGGGCAACCCUGAUCCAGCCAUGACGCGUGAGUGAUGAAGGCCUUAGGGUUGUAAAGCUCUUUUACCCGGGACGAUAAUGACUGUACCGGGAGAAUAAGCCCCGGCUAACUUCGUGCCAGCCGCCGCCGUAA
Molecule: ribosomal RNA, 447 nt
Filed under: uncultured bacterium
Lineage: Bacteria
Description: partial 16S ribosomal RNA
Rfam family: Bacterial small subunit ribosomal RNA
Source: RNAcentral